AUGCUUGCUUUGGCAGCACAUAUGCUAAAAUUGGAAUGAUACAGAAAGAUUAGCAUGGCCCCUGCUCAAGGAUGACAUACAAAUUUGCGAAGCAUUCCAUAUUUUC
RNAcentral lists this small nuclear RNA (106 nucleotides) under Aotus nancymaae (Ma's night monkey). Lineage: Eukaryota; Metazoa; Chordata; Mammalia; Primates; Aotidae. The record is from RNAcentral.